GCAAUCAUAGUUUAACGGUAGAACGUCUGCCUGUGGCGCAGAAGGUCAUUGUUCGAUUCAAUGUGAUUGUACCA
Molecule: transfer RNA, 74 nt
Filed under: bacterium
Lineage: Bacteria
Description: tRNA-His
Rfam family: tRNA
About the family: Transfer RNA (tRNA) molecules are approximately 80 nucleotides in length. Their secondary structure includes four short double-helical elements and three loops (D, anti-codon, and T loops).
Source: RNAcentral